Molecule: small nucleolar RNA, 138 nt
Filed under: Propithecus coquereli (Coquerel's sifaka)
Lineage: Eukaryota; Metazoa; Chordata; Mammalia; Primates; Indriidae
Description: Small Cajal body specific RNA 11 (ENSPCOG00000001910.1)
Rfam family: Small Cajal body specific RNA 11
About the family: scaRNAs are a specific class of small nuclear RNAs which localise to the Cajal bodies and guide the modification of RNA polymerase II transcribed spliceosomal RNAs U1, U2, U4, U5 and U12. ACA57 belongs to the H/ACA box class of guide RNAs as it has the predicted hairpin-hinge-hairpin-tail structure, conserved H/ACA-box motifs and is found associated with GAR1. ACA57 is predicted to guide the pseudouridylation of the U5 spliceosomal RNA at position U43.
Source: Rfam by way of RNAcentral
AUGUCUAGAAAGUUGUGGGAAUUUUGAUGCCUUACAAAGUUCAGGGAACAGUCUGGCAGGACACACAGCAAACUCCCUCUCAGUUUAGGAGAGCUGUCCUCAGAAUAGGGCUGGCUCUUCAAGGCACAAGAGGACAAU